GAUGAACGCUGGCGGCGUGCCUAAUACAUGCAAGUCGAGCGGACCAAAGAGAGCUUGCUCUCUGAGGUUAGCGGCGGACGGGUGAGUAACACGUGGGUAACCUGCCUGUAAGACGGGGAUAACUUCGGGAAACCGAAGCUAAUACCGGAUGAUAAAGAGAAACGCCUGUUUCUCUUUUGAAAGUCGGCCUUGUGCUGACGCUUACAGAUGGGCCCGCGGCGCAUUAGCUAGUUGGUGAGGUAACGGCUCACCAAGGCGACGAUGCGUAGCCGACCGGAGAGGGUGAUCGGCCACACUGGGACUGAGACACGGCCCAGACUCCUACGGGGGGCAGCAGUAGGGAAUCUUCGGCAAUGGACGAAAGUCUGACCGAGCAACGCCGCGUGAGCGAUGAAGGCCUUCGGGUCGUAAAGCUCUGUUGUCAGAGAAGAACAAGUACCGGAGUAACUGCCGGUGCCUUGACGGUACCUGACCAGAAAGCCACGGCUAACUACGUGCCAGCCGCCGCCGUAA
This 513-nucleotide ribosomal RNA is filed under the name uncultured bacterium. RNAcentral's name for it is "partial 16S ribosomal RNA". It matches the Rfam family "Bacterial small subunit ribosomal RNA", at positions 28 to 523 of the family's 1533-position model. The record is from RNAcentral.